AGACCAGACGAUCGCGUGCAUAUGCAUGAGGAAAGUCCGGGCUCCGCAGGGCAAGGAUGACGGAUAACGUCCGCCGCAGGUAACUGUAGGGAAAGUGCAACAGAAACAUUCCGCCGAAACGGUGAGGUAAGAGCUCACCGGGGCUGUGGAGACACAGCCGCCGUGUAAACCCCAUCCGGAGCAAGACAGUCAGGGCUUUGAAAGGUGCGGCCCGUACCGGCCCGAGAGGUAUGUCGCAGGAGGCUGCAGGCAACUGCAGUCCUAGAUGGAUGAUCGUCAGAUACAGAACCCGGCUUACGGUCUGCC
Molecule: RNase P RNA, 306 nt
Filed under: bovine gut metagenome
Description: Bacterial RNase P class A
Rfam family: Bacterial RNase P class A
About the family: Ribonuclease P (RNase P) is a ubiquitous endoribonuclease, found in archaea, bacteria and eukarya as well as chloroplasts and mitochondria. Its best characterised activity is the generation of mature 5'-ends of tRNAs by cleaving the 5'-leader elements of precursor-tRNAs.
Source: RNAcentral